This 449-nucleotide ribosomal RNA is filed under the name uncultured bacterium. RNAcentral's name for it is "partial 16S ribosomal RNA". It matches the Rfam family "Bacterial small subunit ribosomal RNA", at positions 29 to 523 of the family's 1533-position model. The record is from RNAcentral.
AACGAACGCUGGCGGCAUGCCUAACACAUGCAAGUCGAACGAGACCUUCGGGUCUAGUGGCGCACGGGUGCGUAACGCGUGGGAAUCUACCCUUGGGUUCGGAAUAACAGUUAGAAAUGACUGCUAAUACCGGAUGAUGUCUUCGGACCAAAGAUUUAUCGGCAAGGGAUGAGCCCGCGUAGGAUUAGGUAGUUGGUGGGGUAAAGGCCUACCAAGCCGACGUUCCUGAGCUGGGCUGAGAGGAUGAUCAGCCACACUGGGACUGAGACACGGCCCAGACUCCUACGGGAGGCAGCAGUGGGGAAUAUUGGACAAUGGGCGCAAGCCUGAUCCAGCAAUGCCGCGUGAGUGAUGAAGGCCUUCGGGUCGUAAAGCUCUUUUACCAGGGAUGAUAAUGACAGUACCUGGAGAAUAAGCUCCGGCUAACUCCGUGCCAGCCGCCGCCGUAA